UACGUAGGAGGCAAGCGUUGUCCGGAGUUACUGGGCGUAAAGGGCCCGCAGGCGGUGGAGUAAGUUUGGAGUGACAGUUCCCAGCUUAACCGGGAAAGGACUUCGAAAACUGCUCGACUUGAGGACUGGAGAGGAAGGCGGAAUUCCGGGUGGAGCGGUGAAAUGCGUAGAGAUCCGGAGGAACACCGACGGCGAAGGCAGCCUUCUGGAAAGA
RNAcentral lists this ribosomal RNA (214 nucleotides) under uncultured bacterium. RNAcentral describes it as "partial 16S ribosomal RNA". It matches the Rfam family "Bacterial small subunit ribosomal RNA", at positions 524 to 737 of the family's 1533-position model. The record is from RNAcentral.